UGCGAAUUGUUUUCACCAACCAUUUCUCCUUUAAGCGGGUAGUACCUGCGGGUGUCACAGGAGUAUGUUGAAGCCCCUGGCCGGUGGAUCUUCGACUGUGACUAUAUUAUUAACGAUAUUAACCCCUCCUUACACUAGUUGCCUAUUUAUCUGUCAUCCUAUGUGCGGCUUAAUCGCUUGCAGGUUCGUUGACACGUUUAUUUACUUGAACGUUAAAAUACAACUCUUAGCAAUGGAUAUCUUGGUUCUCGCAACGAUGAAGAACGCAGCGAAAUGCGAUACGUAAUGCGAAUUGCAGAAUUCAGUGAAUCAUCAAAUCUUUGAACGCAAAUUGCGCUCUUGGGUAGCCCUAGGAGCACGCCUAUCUCAGUAUCGGUUCAACAACAACUCAGCAGCGUGUGUGUAAUUAAGGCGCAAGCCUCAUUUGCAUAUUCGUGUUGGCUGGAUAAUGCGAGUCUGAUCGAUUCAAUUCGAUUAGUCUCGUUAAGUAUAUCGAGUGAGCAUAUAACUAACGCAAUCAAUUUCUGGCAACGGAAUAGUCGGUCUCUGACUGUCGAUGUGUGUGAGUGACGUGAAUACUGGCCUUCAUCGGUCUCCUUUUACGUGUAACUCAAUGACAUCGGUAUUAAAGUCUAGGAUAGAUGAACGAAUGCGUAUGAGUAAUGUUUUACGUACCGUGGUCA
RNAcentral lists this ribosomal RNA (683 nucleotides) under uncultured fungus. Its description in RNAcentral is "eukaryotic LSU rRNA". The stretch from base 222 to 375 matches the Rfam family "5.8S ribosomal RNA". The record is from RNAcentral. Lineage: Eukaryota; Fungi.